This 467-nucleotide ribosomal RNA is filed under the name uncultured bacterium. RNAcentral describes it as "partial 16S ribosomal RNA". It matches the Rfam family "Bacterial small subunit ribosomal RNA", at positions 28 to 507 of the family's 1533-position model. The record is from RNAcentral.
GAUGAACGCUGGCGGCGUGCUUAACACAUGCAAGUCGAACGGAAAGGCCCUAGCUUGCUUGGGUACUCGAGUGGCGAACGGGUGAGUAACACGUGGGUGAUCUGCCCUGCACUUCGGGAUAAGCCUGGGAAACUGGGUCUAAUACCGGAUAGGACCACAUUCUGGAUGGUGUGGUGGAAAGUUUUUCGGCGUGGGAUGAGCUCGCGGCCUAUCAGCUUUUUGGUGGGGUAAUGGUCUACUAAGGCGUCGUCGGGUAGACGGCCUGUGAGGGUGUACGGCGACAUAUGGGGUGAGAGACGGCGCAGACUCCUACGGGGGAGAGCGGUGGGGGAUAUAUCACAAUGUGCGCAGAACUCAUGCGGCGACGCGGCGUGGGGGGUGUGAGCCUUCGGGUUGUGUACUCCUUUCUCUAGGGACAAAGCGUUUUUGUGACGGUACUGGGAGAAGAAGCACCGGCUAACUACGUG